CUCUGCAACGCUACAAGCUGACAAUGGAUGCCUUGGGCGCUCAUGCCGAGGAAGGACGUAUAUGGCCACGAUAGUCGCCGGGGAGGAGCCAUACUCUCGCGAUCCGGCGGUUUCCGAAUGGAGAAAUCCGGCCAACGUGAGUUGGUCAACCCAUCGUAAAGGCAGCCGUAAGGUUGUUAUAGCAAUGGGUGGGGCACCGCGUGAACUGAAACAUCUAAGUAACGCGAGGAAUAUAAAUCGUAAUGAGAUUCCGUUAGUAGCGGCGAGCGAACGCGGAACAGUCUAAACCAUACCGCAAGGUGUGGGGUUGUGGGGCGGGAGUCAUAGGAGUAUUGAAGGUAGGAGAACAUCUCGGAAUAGGUGGCCAGAGAGAGUGAAAGCCUCGUAUCCGAAACUUUCAAUACCUUUAUUCCGUUCCCAAGUACCGUGGGACACGAAGGUCCUGCGGGAAGCUGGGGGAACCAUCCUCCAAGACUAAAUACAUGAGUGCACCGAUAGUGAACGAGUACCGUGAGGGAAAGGUGAAAAGCACCCCGGAAGGGGAAUGAAAUAGUACCUGAAAUUGUCAGCUAACAAACAGUGAGAGCCCUGCAAGGGGUAAUCACGUGCCUAUUGAAGAAUGAACCGGUGAGUUCUUCUGUGCUGCGGUCUAAGUCGCUUCAAGCGACGGAGACAUAGUGAAAGCGAGGGUGAAUAGCCCGUUUGUAGCACGGAUGAGACCCGAAACCGGGUGAGCUAACCAUGGGCAGGGUGAAGUCCCGCGAAAGCGGGAUGGAGGCCCGAACCCGUCAGAGUUUCAAAUCUGUGGGACGACCUGUGGUUAGGGGUAAUAUGCCUAUCGAACCCGGAGAUAGCUGGUUCUCCCCGAAAUAUAUUUUGGUAUAGCGGCCGAUCAAGCGAUGGAGUGGUAGAGCACUGAAUGAUAACGGUUUCGCAAGGAACCGUCUUCAACCAAACUCCGAAUACUUACAUCGUUAUUCGGCCAGUCAGACGUGCGGGGCUAAGCUCGUGCGUCAAAAGGGAAACAGCCCUGACUCACAUCUAAGGCCUCUAACUCUUUGCUCAGUGGUUAAGGAAGUCAUGGUUUACAGACACCCAGGAGGUUGGCUUAGAAGCAGCCAUCCUUUAAAGAAAGCGUAACAGCUCACUGGAUGAAAGCCGUGGCGCCGAAAAUGAUCGAGGCUUAAGCAAAGGGCCGAAGAUUGAGAUAUUGUUGCCGCAAGGCAAUAGUGUGGUAGGGGAGCGUUCUGUUUGCAGUGAAGAUGCCGCUGUAAGGCGGGUUGGAGCGGACAGAAGUGAGAAUGCCGGUAUGAGUAGCGUUUGGAUGUGAGAAUCAUCCAUGCCGAAUGCGCAAGGUUUCCGAAGCAACGUUCGUCGACUUCGGGUAAGUCGGAUCUAAGGCGAGGCCACAAUGGCGUAGCUCGAUGUAGAAACGGUUGAUAUUCCGUUACAAGGGAGUGUCGAUGAAGACCCAAAGGAAUGACAAAAUGAAACGUGUCCGUGUCUCGAUUCGUCGGGAUUUAAGCUUUGAAAUAGUGAUAAUUGGUAAAUCCGUUAUUGCGAUUAAUUGAAAAGCGAAUAGGAGUCCGCGCCGCGAGGCAAAGGCAACACAGAUAGUUUCGUUUUCGAGAAAAGUUUCGUUGGGGAGCACUUCUUUUCCGUACCGCAAACCGACACAGGUGCGCUGGUGGCAGACCACCAAGGCAAGCGGGCGACAAUGGUUCAAGGAACUCGGCAACAAAAGCUGGGCGUAACCUAUGGGAGAUGCCCUUCCCCGAGCAAUCGGGGGCACAGUAAAUGACACUACGCGACUGUUUAACUAAAACACAGGUCUCUGCGAAGCCGAAAGGCAACGUAUAGGGGCUGACACCUGCCCAGUGCCGGUAAGUUAAGAGUGGUUGGUGACUUUGAGCAAUCAAAGAGGCCGAUUUCUCAAGCUCCGGUGAACGGCAGCAAUAACUAUAAUUGUUCUAUGGUAGCGAAUUUCCUUGUCGGGCAAGUUCCGACCCGCACGAAAGGUAGAACGACGUAGUGACUGUCUUGAACCAUUACCCGGCGAAAUUGAAAUGGCUGUGAAGAUGCGGCCUACUUGCACUUGGACAAAAAGACCCCGUGGAGCUUUACUGCAUCUAGACACUGAGGACUUUAUUUUGACUGUCGAGCAUAGGUGGGAGACUUCGGUCAUCACUGGAAUACCACUCUUCGAAAUGAGGAAAUCUGACUUACGCCUACAUAAAAAUCUAGGCGGAGGACACUGUCUGGUGGGCAGUUUAACUGGGGAGGUUGCCUCCAAAAGUGUAACGGAGGCGUACAAAGGUUGGCUAAUCCUGAAUGGAAACCAGGACGUGUCGUGCAAACGCCAAAAGCCAGCUUGACUGCGAGGCGUACAGGCCGAGCAGGGACGAAAGUCGGUGUUAGUGAUCCUCGGAUCCCUCGUGGGAGGGACCGGGCUUAACGGAUAAAAGCUACCCCGGGGAUAACAGGCUGAUCGCUUCCGAGAGUCCAUAUCGACGAGGCGGUUUGGCACCUCGAUAAUCCCGAUGAAGUCGGGAUCAUGUCGCCUAAAGGAGUAAUCCUUUUUGAAUAAUUCAGCUCAUAUCGGUGAAACUCUCUUUCUCUUUUGAACCGGAGUGAAGGGUAAUACCGAGGGAAGUUUGAUGUACCGUAGUGGCACAUCAUAACCCCGUAACGACUGAUCCACGUUCAUGAAAACUGAACGUGGUGAGAUAGAUUUAAUUUUUUUAUACAUCUAUCACACGCUGGACACCCUUAUGACACAAUGAAGGGUGGUGGUAUAGUCUAUGCCAUUGGAAACAAUGGACAAUCAUGGUCGGCUCAUCCUAUCCUGGGGCUGGAGAAGGUCCCAAGGGUCCGGCUGUUCGCCGGUUAAAAGGGUACGCGAGCUGGGUUCAGAACGUCGUGAGACAGUUCGGUCUCUAUCCAGUGCAAGCGAUCGAUUCUUGAGGGGAGUUCUCCCUAGUAGACGCGAUGAGCGUCAUGCUCUUCCGAUCUGUAAAGAUCGGAAUGUAAUUGGCUUAUAACGGUGAAGUCUUCUGAUAGUUGUGGUACGAUAGAUAGAUGCGAGAGGACCAUAACAUCAAAGAUAAUACCGUGGGAAGUCGACAAGAAUUAAAGAUACAAGACGUAGCGUAUAUAGCAGGUUUCUUAGAUGGUGACGGUAGCAUUAUGAUGCAGAUUAAGCGUCGAUCAGAUUCAAAAUUUGGUUGGCGAAUUAUGACCACAAUCUGUUUUUAUCAGGAUGCACGUCAUGUACAACCAUUGCGAUGGAUUCGCCGCAUGUUUCACAUUGGGUACAUUUCUGUACGUAAUGAUCAUAUGGCGGAAUAUCGUAUCAAUGGCUUUGAAGAAACCCAUCGUAUUUUGCAACUCGUUAAACCGUUUAUUCGGUUUAAGAAAAAACAAGUUGCAUUACUGCUAAAAAUUCUUCCGUUGCUUUGUCGAAAAAAAUUGACUGAUAUGAGUCACAAAGAACGGAUGAGAGUAGCAGAGGUAAUUAUUUCUCUUCGAGAAUAUAAUUAUCAAUCGCACCAGCGGAGAUACACAGAUGAAUCUAUAAAAGCUAUACUUGAUUUUUAAUACUUUGUUUGACCCCGUAACGACUGAUCUCCAUCAUUAUGUCGCUAAGCGACAACGAUGGAGUGAGAUAGAUUGAGUAACAAUCCAUCAAACGCCGACCCCCGCACCAAAUGGAGCAGGGUGAAGAUAUAGUCUAAGCUCUUAGAAAUAAGAGAAUAACUUGACGAGAGGACCGGGAGGAACGGAUCCCUGGUGUGCCUAUUGUCGGACAACCGGCAUCGUAGGGUAGCUAGAUCCGGAAGGGAUAAGUGCUGAAAGCAUCUCAAGCGCCAAGCCCACCCCAAGAUGAAGAAUCGUUAUUCAGAUCCGUUGUAGAUGACAACGUUGAUAGGCGAGAAAUGUACGCACGGCAACGUGUUCUAGUUUACUCGUACUAAUCGAUCGAAGUUGUGGAGAA
RNAcentral lists this ribosomal RNA (3994 nucleotides) under Candidatus Gottesmanbacteria bacterium. RNAcentral's name for it is "23S ribosomal RNA". The stretch from base 1 to 3020 matches the Rfam family "Bacterial large subunit ribosomal RNA". Lineage: Bacteria; Candidatus Gottesmaniibacteriota. The record is from RNAcentral.